GAACGCUGGCGGCAUGCCUAACACAUGCAAGUCGAACGGUAACAGGCGGAAGCUUGCUUCUGCGCUGACGAGUGGCGGACGGGUGAGUAACACGUAGGAAUCUGCCCACGGGUGGGGGACAACCUGGGGAAACCCAGGCUAAUACCGCAUACGCCCUACGGGGGAAAGCGGGGGACCUUUCGGGGCCUCGUGCCGGUGGAGGAGCCUACGUCUGAUUAGCUUGUUGGUGGGGUAAAAGCCUACCAAGGCGACGAUCAGUAGCUGGUCUUAGCGGAUGAUCAGCCACACUGGGACUGAGACACGGCCCAGACUCCUACGGGAGGCAGCAGUGGGGAAUAUUGGACAAUGGGGGCAACCCUGAUCCAGCAAUGCCGCGUGUGUGAAGAAGGCCUGCGGGUUGUAAAGCACUUUCAGAAGGGAAGAAGACGCUUGGGAUAAUACCCUGAGUCGAUGACAUUACCUUCAGAAGAAGCACCGGCUAACUCCGUGCCAGCAGCCGCGGUAAUACGGAGGGUGCGAGCGUUAAUCGGAAUUACUGGGCGUAAAGCGUGCGUAGGCGGUGACGUCAGUCAGCUGUGAAAGCCCCGGGCUUAACCUGGGAAUUGCAGUUGAUACUGCGUCGCUAGAGUGUGAUAGAGGG
Molecule: ribosomal RNA, 640 nt
Filed under: uncultured bacterium
Lineage: Bacteria
Description: bacterial SSU rRNA
Rfam family: Bacterial small subunit ribosomal RNA
Source: RNAcentral